UACGUAGGGAGCAAGCGUUGUCCGGAAUCAUUGGGCGUAAAGCGCGCGUAGGCGGCCCUGUAAGUCCGUUGUGAAAGUCAAAGGCUCAACCUUUGAAAGCCGAUGGAUACUGCAGGGCUAGAGUCCGGAAGAGGCGAGUGGAAUUCCUGGUGUAGCAGUGAAAUGCGUAGAUAUCAGGAGGAAUACCGAUGGCGAAGGCAGGUCUCUGGGCUGACACUGACGCUCAUGCACGAAAGCGUGGGGAGCAAACAGG
This 253-nucleotide ribosomal RNA is filed under the name uncultured bacterium. RNAcentral describes it as "partial 16S ribosomal RNA". It matches the Rfam family "Bacterial small subunit ribosomal RNA", at positions 524 to 776 of the family's 1533-position model. The record is from RNAcentral.